RNAcentral lists this transfer RNA (61 nucleotides) under Orosius sp. RNAcentral describes it as "tRNA-Phe". Lineage: Eukaryota; Metazoa; Arthropoda; Insecta; Hemiptera; Cicadellidae. The record is from RNAcentral.
GUCUUUAUAGCUUAUAUAGAGUAUUUCAGUGAAGUUGAAAAGGAGAUUAUUUCUAAGGAUA